RNAcentral lists this ribosomal RNA (90 nucleotides) under Vibrio vulnificus. RNAcentral also lists the same sequence under 1 other name. The record is from RNAcentral. Lineage: Bacteria; Pseudomonadati; Pseudomonadota; Gammaproteobacteria; Vibrionales; Vibrionaceae.
CUUGGCGACCAUAGCGUUUUGGACCCACCUGAACCCAUUCCGAACUCAGAAGUGAAACGAAAUAGCGUCGAUGGUAGUGUGGGGUUUCCC